This 267-nucleotide long non-coding RNA is filed under the name Ananas comosus (pineapple). RNAcentral describes it as "long non-coding RNA (ACOM_LNC040086)". Lineage: Eukaryota; Viridiplantae; Streptophyta; Magnoliopsida; Poales; Bromeliaceae. The record is from RNAcentral.
UUUUUUUUUAUUUAAAAAUGAGGGGUGUGGAUAAACCUGACAAUCUUGAUCCAAACCCACGGGUACCCACGGGUUGCCCAUAAAUUUGCGAGUAUGGAUACGAACUUUUCCAACUCAAAAAAUUAUGGGUAAAACAGGUGGGUACCCAUUAAGCAGUAGACAUUUUGGGUAACCUGCGGGUACCUACGGGUACCCGCACAUAUAUUUCUUAAUUACAAAAUAUAUUUUUUCAAUUAAUAUAUAUUUUUUAUUUACCUAUCCUAAAAA